CCUACGGGAGGCAGCAGUAGGGAAUCUUCCACAAUGGGCGCAAGCCUGAUGGAGCAACGCCGCGUGGACGAAGAAGGUCUUCGGAUCGUAAAGCUCUGUUGUAAGGGAAGAAAGUGCGAGAGAGUAAAUGUUCUCGUAUUGAUGGUACCUUUCGAGAAAGCCACGGCUAACUACGUGCCAGCAGCCGCGGUAAUACGUAGGUGGCGAGCGUUAUCCGGAAUGAUUGGGCGUAAAGGGAGCGUAGGCGGUCUGGUAAGUCUUGUGUGAAAGGUUACGGGUUAACCGGGAAAGUGCAUUGGAAACUGGGGGACUAGAGUGCAGAAGAGGGGAGUGGAACUCCAUGUGUAGCGGUGAAAUGCGUAGAUAUAUGGAAGAACACCAGUGGCGAAGGCGGCUGUCUGGUCUGUAACUGACGCUGAGGUGCGAAAGCGUGGGUAGCAAACAGGAUUAGAUACCCGAGUAGUC
This 465-nucleotide ribosomal RNA is filed under the name uncultured bacterium. RNAcentral describes it as "partial 16S ribosomal RNA". It matches the Rfam family "Bacterial small subunit ribosomal RNA", at positions 338 to 795 of the family's 1533-position model. The record is from RNAcentral.